AAACGCGGCAGCAGCAACGAAACGGUAAAGGGAAGAAGAGAGGCACACACGGAUACCAAACCGUCGGCGUAACGCGGGCGGGACGCACACACUCCCCCCCCACACACACACACUCACCUUCCCUCACUACUUUUUGUUCUCGUGUGUCUGUGUGUGCCUGUCUGUGGGUUGGCGCUGCUGUUUAUUUUGCGACGUCGGUGGGCACUCCCGUCCUCUUCACACGGUCCCUCCCCCCUUCUUCGAGAUGCGCAUCUUCUCAUCGAGGCAGAAGGUCUACACGACCGGCACGGCCCCAGUCAACACCUCGGAGGAUGUCGGGGUGGAAGGAAAGCGGUAUCCGACCCACACGCUGGGUCGCUUCAUUGUCCAAUACCCCGCCCCAAUGCUGCUGACCCUCGUCCUACCUUUUGUUUUCUUUGUGAUUGGUGGUGCGAAACUUCAGUCGGGGCUCUCCUACUCGCUGGACGACUACCAGAUCCGCUCCACCAUCGGCGUGCGGCGCGACGCGUUGAGGGUGAACGGCGUGCUGAAUGACUGGGCUUUCUCUCUCUCUGGUGCAUACUGGCUGUCGGACAGCGUCGACUUAUCUCACCCACGGACGUAUGUGCAGGACACGCUGGAGUUGCGCGCCGUUAUCAACCUUCAAGACCUCAUGGAGUACGCAAAGAAGGUGGGCUGGUCCCCCGAAACGCGUGAUGCAUACGCCAAUCUGCUGAACCCGGACCUCUUUAAAAUCUACCGCGCAGCGGAGGAGCACGUCACGGAGCUGGACGGUUACGAGGGCGUGUGUUUCACGAACGAUCUGCGCAAUGGACAAAUCAACAGCAUCUAUCCCACGUGCACGCCUGUAUCCAGCGUGACGCAGUAUAUCUAUCCAUCUUGGAACGGGCUGGAGUGGUUCAUGAACGGCAGCGGGACUGUGUUCCAGCUAGACUACAUGCAGCGCCUCUUUGCGAACCCGAGCUACGGAUGGUUCUUCGACAACAACUUCUCGACGCUGAACCAGAGGGCGCUGCAGCUGCGCUCGCAGUAUACGUUUGCGUCGUCGUGGUCAGAGUCGAAGGCUUCGUACCGGAAUCGCAUGAAGAGGUUCCUGCCUCGUGCGAUGAACUUCGUUAACAGCGGACAGGCUGCCUCGCUGCCGUUUGUGGAGUUCUACCUCGGCGGUGGGUCGUCGCAGGACAUCUUGAUGGAGAUCGCUGGGGAGCGGGAGGGGUACAAGGUGGGCGUUGCUGCGGUGAUCUGCUUCUUGCUGAGCUGGUGGCACUGCCGGACGUUCAUUGUCGGGGUGUACACGGCUGCAGAAGCUGUGUUUGCGUACAUGGCUGCCGUUGGUCUGUACGCGCUCAUCUACCGGACGCUGCCGCUGGCGACGUACUCCGCGAUUAUCUGGGUGAUGACAUUCUGCAUGCACGGGACAUUGAGCUUCUACGACAUGUUUGUGUUCAGCGGGGUAAUGGCGACGAAGGGACGACAGAACAACCUAAGCGUGGUGCAGCGGCUGUGCUUCACGAUGCGGCGCAUCUCCGUUGGCGUGUGGAUUGCAGACGCGCUUGCGAUAAUCAUCUUCGCGGUCAACACGACCUCGCUGUUCCGCUCUGUGGAGCAGUUCAGCGUGUUCAUGAUAAUCGCGCUGCUGUGGAACAUGUACUGCAUCGCGCUGCCCACCCCUGCGCUGAUUGUGGUGCACCAUUUGUACUUCUCGAACAAGCGGCGCAACCUGCAAAAGCAGAGCGACGUGCUGAACGAUGCGCUGCUCGGGUGCCGGCGGUCUGGACACCUGGUGCGUGUGCUGGAAGCUGUGCAGGACAACAUAGCCGACUGCGAGCGUGCGUACCGGAUGGAGGAGGACCUGGCCCACCAGCGCAUCGGCGAGGACUUCGGGAUCCACAGGAAGAGAUACGGUGGCCCGCUGGACUUUGUGCGACAACAGGUGCGUGAGGGGCUCGACAAGGUUCGCGCUGCGCGGCGCGACGUCGUUGGAGCUCUACACAAGGCGCAGAAGGCAAAGGACCGCGUUGUGAAGGGCACCGACACGCGCGACGGCAUGGGGUUGCCUUCCUUCUCGUUGCAGGAUUUCCUGCAGAUCGGCGACGCGAACCCGCUUGCGGAGGAGACUGGUGUGGGCCCCGACAGGCUGCCGCUGUACUACAACCCGCGCAUGGUGCUUCCAUCGGACCUGGUCCAUAUCCCUGCGGUGUACGUAGAGCGCAGCGAGGACUGCUGGAGUGGCAUGUGCGAUGCCCUGGGGAUACACGCACGUACGAGUCACGGAGAGGUUAUCCCGCCGCGCGCGUACAGCCUGAGGAAUCAAGGCACCAGCUCUGCUGAGGCGAGUGCGUUUGCCGAUUGGUGGCGCGAGCUGGGCACGCGUCUUGGCGUGGAGACGGCCUCGAACAACCGCAGCGUUGAGCUAGUGUCGCUUGCGGUCCGAAAUGCGGUGCGCGCACAGGACCCGACAAUGGUAGUGGACCCGUGCGCAAGGGCCCGUCGCGGCACGAAGAAAGGCGGCGCUGCUGCUGCUGCUGGUGGUGGGGCUUCGCCGCGCGCGACUGGCGGCCCAUCUGGAAUGGGCCUUGGGAAGCUGCGCUACCGCUUGGCGCACCGCGCGGAUUUGCCCCGUGUGGAGUGCUGCGGGCUGUUUGGCCGUGUUGCGGACGAGACGGCUGAGCAGCGGAUGCGGAGGCUGAUGGCACGCAAAGUGAAGCGCGAUGGCUACUCGCUGUUCGAGCUCUUCGUACUGCAGUACUACCUGCCGGCGAUCCACUAUGUGCGGUAUGCGCUGCUCGCGCUGCUGCUGGUGCUAUUCAUUGUGGUGUGCAUGCUGGGCUGCCGCAUUACUGUGGCCGGACUGCCCAACACGCUGUUGGUGGAUCAAGGCAGCAUCGCAGACACGUUUGCAGCGAUGGACGACACCUUUGGCCAGCGUGGCAGCUGCACGUUCUGUGGCCCGUACUACCGAUCGCCGCAAGACUACCGUCAGGCAACAAUCACAGACAUCGCGGCAUGCUCGGCGGAUUAUGGUGAGCAGAUGAAUCUGUACGCGGAUAGCUGCGGCGUGUGCAACGGAACGGACGCGUGCGUGGACUGCGGUGGCACUGCGCACGGCGCAGCGGCACUAAAUGACUGCGGCGGGUGUGCUGUUGCUGGAUCGUCUGCUGUGGCGCCGUGCACAUGCCCUUUAACGCGCGACUGCCAGUACUGCGAGUGGGCUCUGGGCAAGGGCAACGCCGGUGGGGGGUCGUGCAGCGUGACGUGCGAUGCUAGCACGUGCGGGAGGAACGGCGAGUGCGACCAGUACACAGGGACGUGCGUCUGCGAUGCGGGCUUCACGGGAGCCGCGUGCAACGAAUGCGAGUCAUGGCUGCUGCCUGCUGCAUCGAAUCCGGGGUGCGCACUGGAGUGCAACGCGGCGAUGAACUCUGCGGCGUGCGACUGCGACGCGAGCAGUGGGCGAUGCCGGUCGUGCCCAGCGGGGACGCGCGGGUACGACUGCUCGCAGCCAUCGGUGGACUGCAGUAGUCACGGAACGUUCAACCCUGCGACGGCGACGUGUACGUGCUCGAGCGGGUGGACGGGGGCGUUCUGUAACGUGUCGAGCGUUUGCAACGGACGCGGCGUGCUGCUGUCUGCUAUGGACUCACCGACCGGGUCCGAAAUGUGCGGCUGCUUGGGGCACUGGCGCGGCGGGACGUGCCAGCUGUGCGACUGUACCAACGGCGGAAUGUGCAACGCCGUGACGGGGAAGUGCGAGUGCGUGGGUGCCUUUACGGGGCCGCGGUGCGAGACGUGCGCGGCGAACUGUACGUUGCGCGGCACGUGCCCUGACGUGUCGACGCCGGACUACGCGCUGUGGAAUGUGCGGGCAUGCAUUCCCAAUGCGUGCAGUGAGGCUGACGUACAGUCGGAGACGAUGUGCCCCGCCUGCUCACCGACACAGAUGGUACCCGUUGGCGUGUGCAAGGCGGCGUCUAAGGAGUCGUGCAUGGCCAUGCCGGAUUGCUGGUGGUAUAUGGAUGGCAACGUCGUGCCUUACUGCGGCAUGGCGCGGCAAGUGAGCGACUUCACGGCGCUCAGCUGUACUUGCCGGUACCCGAAGGUCUGGUCUGGCCCAACGUGUGGGUCUUGCCCUGCACCGGCUGGCGCGACAUGCCUGGACGACGGGACAGUGUUGGGCUGCAACAGGUUGGCGUACACAUCGCUGAGUUCCGUCGUGAGCAUCGAUAGCUGCGGCGUGUGCGGCGGUGAUGGCUUGUGCCGGGGCUGCGAUGGCGUUCCUGGCAGCGGUGCGACAUACGACGCGUGCGGCGUGUGCGGCGGCAACAACACAUGCAGUGGCACGACGGCGGUGAUGCCGAUGUACGUGGAAUAUCUGUUUGACCUCACGAAGGUGCCUCGGACCCUCAACAAUGCGGCGUGGUGCAAGGUAGUGGCUUCCAUUGCUGCCAACAUUCGGCGGUCGGACAGCACUGGAUCGCAGAUGCGGACGGUGCUGGAGGACUACCUCGCUGAUGACGCGAGCUAUGAGCUGACAUCUCUCCAAGACUUUUACAACUACGCCAAGGAGAACGGCCGGCUGAGCGAGGCGGUCUUCACGCUCAGCUACAACGGCGAGCCACUGAUGCUGCAGCAGAUACUCUACCGCGUAGAGAGCACACUCGCCACCAGCCAGAGCUCACCUUCGCGGGUGGUGGCGGCGUACUACUGGAUAUCUCGGGACAUCAUCGCCCCCUUCCGGUCACUUGCUCAAGCAAGUGGUAUCACCGUGUACUACACGUCGACCCUGUUCCAGCCGGCAGUGGCGAGGGUUGGCGCGCUGCAAAGCCUGUGGUUCGCGGUCGGCAUCGGUCUGGCGGUGACGUUCGUGCUCCUGCUCACGUACUACGUGAGCCUGACGACGGCGGUGGCGGCGACGAUAGUGGCUGCCAUUGUGUGCUUCGGGUCGCUGACGGUGUGCGCGGUCUUCGACUGGGAGAUGGACGCUGUGCUUCAGGUGUGCAUCAGCUGCACUGUACCGAUAAGCGUGGAGUACGUGGUGCACUUCUGCAGCGGGUACUUCGACUACCUGCAGACGACGACGUCACACCUUUUUGCGCGCGACGUGACGCGGCGGACUGCUGUGCAGGGUGCGUUGCUGCGGUCUGCACCUGCUGUGUGCACGUCUGCCGUCUGCGUGAUCGUUGUGUCGGCCAUGUUCGGCGUGUCGAGCCUGGUGCCAUUACGGCGCGCGGGCCAGGUGAGCAUCACACUGCACCUGCUGCUGCUUCUUGCCGGUGUGCUCUUCACUGGCGCUGUUGCCGCGCUGGGGCCGAUGAACGUGUACCAGCACUGGACGCUCUCCGCCGCAAUCUGCAUUGUCUGUGCUGCGCUUGCCGCGCUUGCGGUGCUGAUCAUGUACGGCGUGCAUGGAGUGCUCGGGCCGCACGGCAACAUGAUUCUGACGCGCUGAGGUGCGCGACACGGCGGAUUGUAGGUGACAUGAAGGCGGCGGCGGCGAAAGAGAAAAGCGACAGAGAUGUUCCAGCACGACUCCUUGGCCAGGGCCUUCUACUGUCGCGCAUGUUGGUUAAGCGCCGCCCAUGCCGUUUUGCCUCUUGCUGAUGUUCAGCACCUGCGCCUGUCGGUUUCGCUACCACUGCGUUGUCCUCGUCGGCGUGCCCACGCAUUGUAGCACUGCCGCCACCUCGCCAACCUCAACGGAGUGGCUGAUGGCAUUGUUGUGUGCGCGGGUGCGCGCAUUAGCAACACAUUCGCCCUCACUCGCCGCCUUUACUAUGCCAUCCUUUGACGAUCCUCCUCACCGCUCCUUCCACUGCACCGGUUUCGCCUGCGCACGCCUUCUGGCUUUGCAG
RNAcentral lists this unclassified non-coding RNA (5852 nucleotides) under Leishmania donovani. Its description in RNAcentral is "gene:LdHU3.28.3440(CDS-product:subtilisin-like_se rine_peptidase)". The record is from RNAcentral. Lineage: Eukaryota; Euglenozoa; Kinetoplastea; Trypanosomatida; Trypanosomatidae.